This 1853-nucleotide long non-coding RNA is filed under the name Sus scrofa (pig). RNAcentral describes it as "lncRNA (ENSSSCG00065018455.1)". The record is from RNAcentral. Lineage: Eukaryota; Metazoa; Chordata; Mammalia; Artiodactyla; Suidae.
AGAAUCUUCUAGGCCAUGAUCAUUGGUGCCUCUGUGGACAGCCUCUGUCUGCAGAUCAGAGCACCAUUGCCAGUUGCCAAGAGGAACUUUCUCUGAGGCUUCUGGAAGAGGAAUCCAUGCUGCUGUGGCUUUUGCUGCUGGUUCUAGGUCUCCCGGGGCCCAGGCUGCCAUGGGGGAAGUGGUGGAGCUUCACUGUGAGGCCCAGAGGGGCUCUCCCCCAAGCCUGUACCAGUUCUAUCAUGAGGAUGUCACCCUGCGGAGCAGCUCAGCAUCCUCUGGAGAAGGAACAUCCCACAACCUCUCUGCAGAACAUUCUGGAAAAUCCUGUGUCAGGCCAACAAUAGCCUAGGAGCCCAGCCCAGUGAGGCAGUGCUUUUCAAUGUCAUUCAGCUUGAGCCUUGGCUAUGGGCUCUCUUUCAAAAGAUAAACUCCAAGCAUGCCAGUGUAUGAGGAAGAGUAUUUCGUGAAGACUGGAUUUCCUCAGUGACUUACAGUGGAAACAGAGACAGGAGGUCAUGAAAAUUAGUUGCUAGCCUCCCACUAGCCUGAGAGGAGUGGGCUACACUCCAGGGCAUUGGACAAAUAACUGAACAUCACUUAACCAUUUCAAACUAAGGCAAAAUGCACUGGAACGCCUGCCCGAUUCCGCACUUCACACCCCUUCCUCUGGAGUAUCUUCAGGAUUCCAGCCUGAGUCCCUGACCUCUGAGCCUCACCCACAGAACACUCUCCUCAGAGGUCCCCUAGGACAAAGGCCAUGCCACCUUCUGGUUGCAGUGACUGGGGGACGCUGCUUGGUUUCCUGGCAACUACUGCUCUGUUUUUUACCUGUGGCUCCAGAGGAAGUCAGAAACCUGUCCAGCCCAGAUCUCCGUGAACGCCUCUGCUGCAGCUCACCUAACCCGGCCAGGGACCAGGAGCCCAUGGAAAGCAAUGAUGAGUACUGAGGAAAGAUGUAGGGAUGAGGUCUAGAGCACCCAUCUGAAGAUUUAGGCAGUGCUUAUUUUUUAAAUUAAGGAUUCCUCUGCUGUCUAUUUAGAGGUGAAGAAAGAACAGCCCACAGCAGCCUCAGCUGAGCAGCAGUAAAAGGAACCUGUAGUUGGAGCUCUUCUUAAGAAGUCUGAAAAUCAGGAGUUCCCAUCGUGGCACGCGGAAACAAAUCCGACUAGGAACCAUGAGGUUGAGGGUUCAAUCCCUGGCCUUGCUCAGGGGGUUGGGGAUCCGGCGUUGCUGUGAGCUGUGGUGUAGGUCACAGACAUGGCUUGGAUCUGGCAUUGCUGUGGCUGUGGGGUAGGCUGACAGUUGUAGCUCCGAUUAGACCUCUAGCCUGGGACCCUGCAUAUGCUGCAGGUGCGGCCCUAAAAAGACAAAAAAAAAAAAAAGUCUGAAAAUCAGAUAAUAACAGAUCUUCAGACUUGGUAAUGGUAUUUAUUCUGGAGCUGAAUCUCAGCUUCUGCUUUCAAAUGGUGCAUGUGCUCCCCAAUUAACCACAGUAUCUGCCGCUUGGUAUUGUUUCCUUGAAUCUGAGCCAAGUGACAGCUGCCAUUUAGUCCCUCAAACAUCCAAUUAUUUACUCACAAUAGACUUAAGAAAAGAGUGCCUCUUUUACCCAUGUCUCUGGCAAAAGUAGGAAAAUAAAAGACAGAAAAAGAAGAGUCUGUGGUUUCAAGAAGAGAUCAUUUCCUUGUAAAAGUAAAAAGUAUUCGUAUAUAUAUGCAAAUAAAGUGUGUCUUUGUUGAUUAAAUACAAAUAAAGAUACCAUUAUAAAACAUAUUAUAGCAAGAAUUAUGAUAGGCUAGAGGAAGAUGCAUGUUGAAGAAAUUAAUGAACUAAAAAAAUAAAGAACUGAACUU